UACGGGAGGCAGCAGUGGGGAAUUUUGGACAAUGGGCGAAAGCCUGAUCCAGCCAUGCCGCGUGAGUGAAGAAGGCCUUCGGGUUGUAAAGCUCUUUCGGCCGGGAAGAAAUCGCACAGGCUAAUACCCUGUGUGGAUGACGGUACCGGAAUAAGAAGCACCGGCUAACUACGUGCCAGCAGCCGCGGUAAUACGUAGGGUGCGAGCGUUAAUCGGAAUUACUGGGCGUAAAGCGUGCGCAGGCGGUUUUUUAAGACAGGCGUGAAAUCCCCGGGCUUAACCUGGGAACUGCGCUUGUGACUGGAAGGCUAGAGUACGGCAGAGGGGGGUGGAAUUCCACGUGUAGCAGUGAAAUGCGUAGAGAUGUGGAGGAACACCGAUGGCGAAGGCAGCCCCCUGGGCCGAUACUGACGCUCAUGCACGAAAGCGUGGGGAGCAAACAGGAUUAGAUACCCUGGUAGUCCACGCCCUAAACGAUGUCAACUAGGUGUUGGGUGGGUAAAACCAUUUAGUACCGGAGCUAACGCGUGAAGUUGACCGCCUGGGGAGUACGGCCGCAAGGUUAAAACUCAAAGGAAUUGACGGA
This 586-nucleotide ribosomal RNA is filed under the name uncultured bacterium. RNAcentral's name for it is "bacterial SSU rRNA". It matches the Rfam family "Bacterial small subunit ribosomal RNA", at positions 340 to 917 of the family's 1533-position model. The record is from RNAcentral.